This 684-nucleotide long non-coding RNA is filed under the name Lathyrus oleraceus (garden pea). Its description in RNAcentral is "Pisum sativum (pea) long non-coding RNA (PSAT_LNC010041)". Lineage: Eukaryota; Viridiplantae; Streptophyta; Magnoliopsida; Fabales; Fabaceae. The record is from RNAcentral.
GUUCUGAACCUGAUACACCGUUGGUUAGGCUGGGUUGGAAUAAACAGGAUCCUCGCUAUAUGGCUACGAUUAUUAUGGAUACUGCUAAGGUUGUUGUUCUUGAUAUUCGUUUUCCGACCCUACCCGUUGUGGAAUUGCAGAGACAUCAAGCUAGUGUGAAUGCUAUUGCGUGGGCACCACAUAGUUCUUGCCAUAUUUGUACUGCUGGUGAUGAUUCUCAGGCGUUGAUUUGGGAUCUUUCUUCAAUGGGUCAACCUGUUGAAGGUGGGCUUGAUCCUAUUUUGGCUUAUACUGCUGGUGCUGAAAUUGAACAGCUUCAAUGGUCUUCUUCACAGCCUGAUUGGGUUGCUAUUGCUUUCUCCACUAAGCUUCAGAUUCUCAGGGUGUGAAAAAAAAGUGAAAAUUUACUCUGAUGAGUGUUCAAGGGCAAGGUGGGUUUGCUCUUUAUUUAAUUUUAAAAUUGUGUUAGUAUUUUUUUGUUGUUGUUAAAAGGUUAACUUUAUAUUGGGUUUAGAAUUAAGAUAAGAACAACAAGUAUUGGAUUGUUUCUGGUAAGAUAUAGAUACCGAUAUGAAUUGUGACAUUCUUGUUAGCUGGAUAAUCCAUUGAGAUUCUAUGUAAAUGUUAUUAGGCCUUAGUGUCUAUUUUAUUUUGGUUAUGCGAUUGAUACUAACUGUUAAGAGU